RNAcentral lists this ribosomal RNA (460 nucleotides) under Porphyromonas sp. oral taxon 279. RNAcentral describes it as "bacterial SSU rRNA". It matches the Rfam family "Bacterial small subunit ribosomal RNA", at positions 28 to 477 of the family's 1533-position model. Lineage: Bacteria; Pseudomonadati; Bacteroidota; Bacteroidia; Bacteroidales; Porphyromonadaceae. The record is from RNAcentral.
GAUGAACGCUAGCGAUAGGCUUAACACAUGCAAGUCGAGGGGCAGCAUGGUCUUAGCUUGCUAAGACUGAUGGCGACCGGCGCACGGGUGCGUAACGCGUAUGCAACUUGCCUCACAGAGGGGGAUAACCCGUCGAAAGACGGACUAAUACCGCGUACACUCUAUGUUGGGCAUCCAAUGUAGAGGAAAUGAACUUCGCUGUGAGAUAGGCAUGCGUCCCAUUAGCUAGUUGGUGAGGUAACGGCUCACCAAGGCGACGAUGGGUAGGGGAACUGAGAGGUUGAACCCCCACACUGGUACUGAGACACGGACCAGACUCCUACGGGAGGCAGCAGUGAGGAAUAUUGGUCAAUGGGCGAGAGCCUGAACCAGCCAAGUCGCGUGAAGGAUGACUGUCUUAUGGAUUGUAAACUUCUUUUAUACGGGAAUAACAAGAGUCACGUGUGACUCCCUGCAUGUA